RNAcentral lists this ribosomal RNA (486 nucleotides) under uncultured bacterium. Its description in RNAcentral is "partial 16S ribosomal RNA". It matches the Rfam family "Bacterial small subunit ribosomal RNA", at positions 899 to 1397 of the family's 1533-position model. The record is from RNAcentral.
ACUCAAAUGAAUAGACGGGGACCCGCACAAGCAGCGGAGCGUGUGGUUUAAUUCGAUGCUACACGAAGAACCUCACCCAGGUUUGACAUACUAGUGGUAAUGAACCGAAAGGGGAAUGACCCGCAAGGGAGCUAGUACAGGUGUUGCAUGGCUGUCGUCAGCUCGUGUCGUGAGAUGUUCGUUUAAGUACGCUAACGAGCGCAACCCUUACUGCCAGUUACAAGUGUCUGGCGGGACUGCCGGCCACAAGCCGGAGGAAGGCGGGGAUGAUGUCAAGUCAGCAUGGCCUUUAUAUCUGGGGCUACACACACGCUACAAUGGGACGGUACAAUGGGUCGCCAAGCCGCGAGGUGGAGCCAAUCCCCAAAACGUCCCUCAGUUCAGAUUGCAGGCUGCAACCCGCCUGCAUGAAGUCGGAGUUGCUAGUAAACGCGCGUCAGCCAUAGUGCGUUGAAUACGUUCCCGGGUCUUGUACACACCGCCCGU